This is a long non-coding RNA of Homo sapiens (human), 1125 nucleotides long. Ensembl annotates it as long intergenic non-protein coding RNA 2465. NCBI's taxonomy places the organism in Eukaryota, Metazoa, Chordata, Mammalia, Primates, Hominidae. The record is from Ensembl.
GGAGACUGCAUAGGGUGUGACUAUCAGGAACCAUGGCUCACUGGAGCACCAUCUUUGGAGUCUAGCUAACACAGCAUCUUGGAUGCACUCCUAAGAGAAGACUACCUGAAAGGCGUGUACACUGGUCUAGCAGUUGAGAUCAGCUAGUGUUCCAUCUAUCUUCUGUCAUGUAUCUCUUCUAAGAUGUCUUGAUCGACUGACCCCAAAGCCAGAGGGUACCAGGUCAAAAAGCAAGAAAACAAACAAUACUGACAUUAGAGAGAAGCAAAGUUUCUAUAGAAAACCUAUUACACUGUGGUAUAAAUCAAGAUGAACCUGCAGACAUCUAUUUUAGUUUGGAAGUCUGGAAAAGUUCAAGAUUGGCCAUCUGCAGCUGGUGAGAGCCUCAGGCUGCUUCCCCUCAUGGUGGAAGGUGAAGGGGAGCUGGUGUGUGCAGAGAUUACAUGCAAAGGUGCUGCUGGUUACUCUUGGUUCAUCUAGCAAUAGAUGAUCUGAAUGUUAGAGUUCGCCAAAUAUUGUUCCUGGGCAGUCUUUGCUCUACCAAAUCAACUUUCUCCAUGGGGGAGCUAGAAGUCACCCCACAUUCUCCGCCAUGGCCAGCUCUACAUUCUAAGAGAUGACAAAGACACAAGGAGCCAAGACAGAUCAUUCAAGCAUAUUCAUUGCCUCUAUCUUCAUCCCAUUAAAUAACAUCCCGCCAACCAAAGCAAGUUAUCUGCAUAAGAAUAAAUAUUCCACCUACUCUACUGCAAGGCCCUGCAAGAGUCAUGAGACAAAAGAUAUAUAAUUGAGCACUCUGAUGCCAAGGAUGGCAAAUGCAUUUGUUUCCCUCUAUUCAUUAUUAGAAGAGAGGAGAUUACAUACCAGACAUAUACCAAUAGGUUUUCUCUUCAUAAUACCUACGUCAUCUAGUAGCAUAACAUAAGGCAGAAUCCUUCAAAGGUUGACUCCUAGAGAUGGAAGAGCUGUAAGCAGAGACAGAAAAAUUUUUCUGUACUCAUGCUGUGGAGCUGUACUCUGGAGCAGCAAGUGACAAGUGAAGACAACCUCCCUCCCUGCCUUUUCUGGUCUGAGUAACAUUGUCAUUAAAAUUGUCAAAUAAAUUAAGAUACCAAGACAAAAAAA